RNAcentral lists this long non-coding RNA (389 nucleotides) under Arabidopsis lyrata. Its description in RNAcentral is "long non-coding RNA (ALYR_LNC002205)". Lineage: Eukaryota; Viridiplantae; Streptophyta; Magnoliopsida; Brassicales; Brassicaceae. The record is from RNAcentral.
AUUUUCAUUUUCUUUUUAGAUGUUAUGGCUUUUGGGGACAUUUAUUUGAUUUUAAAAGUAUACAUCGUCUUAGGAUUGUCUCAUAGCCCAUUUACCUUUAAUUGGGCCUAUAACUAUCAUAUAAGUAGUUAUUUGAUUUUAAAAGUAUACAUCGUCUUAGGCUUUUCUUUGUCUCAAAGCCCAUUUACCUUUAAUUGGGCCUAUAACUAUCAUUACCAACCCUACGAGUACGACGCGGUGAUAACGACAACUUCUGAAGAGAGAUAAUGUAUAACUGCACUUUGCGAUUAAGGAAAUUAUAGAAAGAUACAAAGUCUGAAUAAAUGACAAGAAAAUAUGAGUUAGUAGUAUCCAUUCUUCUCCACUUUCGACAUCAAUUUUUUUUUUUU